CUACGUGCCACCAGCCGCGGUAAUACGUAGGUGGCGAGCGUUGUCCGGAUUUACUGGGCGUAAAGGGUGCGUAAGCGGAUGUUUAAGUGGGAUGUGAAAUCCCCGGGCUUAACCUGGGGGCUGCAUUCCAAACUGGAUAUCUAGAGUGCAGGAGAGGAAAGCGGAAUUCCUAGUGUAGCGGUGAAAUGCGUAGAGAUUAGGAAGAACACCAGUGGCGAAGGCGGCUUUCUGGACUGUAACUGACGCUGAGGCACGAAAGCGUGGGUAGCAAACAGGAUUAGAUACCCUGGUAGUCCACGCCGUAAACGAUGGAUACUAGGUGUAGGGGGUAUCAACUCCCCCUGUGCCGCAGUUAACACAAUAAGUAUCCCGCCUGGGGAGUACGGUCGCAAGAUUAAAACUCAAAGGAAUUGACGGGGGCCCGCACAAGCAGCGGAGCAUGUGGUUUAAUUCGAAGCAACGCGAAGAACCUUACCUGGACUUGACAUCCCUUGCAUAGCCUAGAGAUAGGUGAAGCCCUUCGGGGGCAAGGAGACAGGUGGUGCAUGGUUGUCGUCAG
RNAcentral lists this ribosomal RNA (559 nucleotides) under Clostridium sp. NAN 013 TH. RNAcentral's name for it is "bacterial SSU rRNA". It matches the Rfam family "Bacterial small subunit ribosomal RNA", at positions 501 to 1058 of the family's 1533-position model. Lineage: Bacteria; Bacillati; Bacillota; Clostridia; Eubacteriales; Clostridiaceae. The record is from RNAcentral.